AACAGCUACAAAUUUGAAAUUUAGCAGGUAGGUUCCUUAUAGAGCGUAAACAUCCGCUAAGAGCUGAUUUUACGAAACUCGCCCCUUAAGAGGAUAAAACGGGGUUCGGAAGUUUGUAUGAAAGUCCUAUGUUUUUGAAGUAAGAGACUUGAAAUUUAAAAUAUAUGCUCUAUAGAUGGUGAGGAAGUGUCCAAAUGAUACAUCG
Molecule: unclassified non-coding RNA, 205 nt
Filed under: Melitaea cinxia (Glanville fritillary)
Lineage: Eukaryota; Metazoa; Arthropoda; Insecta; Lepidoptera; Nymphalidae
Description: misc RNA ENSMCXG00005021242.1
Source: RNAcentral